AGAGGUAAAUUUUAAAACUUGGACCAAGUCCUCAAAUAGAUUUGGGAUGAAAUGCUCGUCAUUUCAUCUCGGGGUGAAAUGACGAGCAUCUCUACCUUAGCCAUCCAUAAGCGACUCGGCCCAGAAUUACGGUAUUAUAGAAUGCUUGAUUACGCUAGACCUCGCGCUUUAGAGCCUCCUGGCUCGCCUGAGCCUUACGAUAUAGCCAGCUUGUAACAUCACAUAACCCUGCAUUCAAUGCAACGCGGAACGGACCAUGGGCUAGUCGGGUGAGGCCUCGCAAUAGAAAGCCUCAGGAGUGCGUGGGUUCGGCACCGCAGCAAUGCGAAUGGAUUGCUGGACUGCAAAUUAUUUGCAAAUAUGUUCCUGAGAUUCAAAUCAGGCUUGGUUCGCAGCUGCAUCGUUCUGGCCACGGCCGUGGCCAUAUGUACGUACUCACGGCCUGGUGCUUGGCUGGUUUAAUCAACUCGCGGAAACCGUUGAAACUUGCAGCUUCUUGGUGCUUUUAAAGCCUUGCGAUGCCGCUACUUAUCCCGCUGCUCAGGGCUGCCUACGCAGUCGCACGCAGAGGGAGCCGAAUUUGAAGAUCUUUAUGCAAGUGUAUCCUUGCUUUGUAGGAGUAUUUCGUAGUAGUAUUGUUUUAUAGAAAUAUUUGUUUGCCGGCUGUUGUCACUUACAGAUUCUCGUUACUGAUGUAUGGGUAGAGAAAACCUGAACGCCGGCUAACCUGAGAACAAUGAGUACGCAUUCAAUCGGACGAAGGUCAUCGACAUGGCGCAAAUUAGAGGCUCAAUUUAAAUCGUUGCACAGGAUGUUGGGACGGGUGAGCAA
This 831-nucleotide long non-coding RNA is filed under the name Volvox carteri. Its description in RNAcentral is "long non-coding RNA (VCAR_LNC000052)". The record is from RNAcentral. Lineage: Eukaryota; Viridiplantae; Chlorophyta; Chlorophyceae; Chlamydomonadales; Volvocaceae.